RNAcentral lists this microRNA precursor (103 nucleotides) under Marmota monax (woodchuck). The record is from RNAcentral. Lineage: Eukaryota; Metazoa; Chordata; Mammalia; Rodentia; Sciuridae.
AGUGGAAUAGCUGUGUAAUAUGGUGGGUUCUUUUCUAGUUUUUUGAGGAAUCGCCAUACUGCUUUUCAGAGUGGUUGUACUAAUUUACAGACUCAUCAACAAU